Non-coding RNA from Oryzias latipes (Japanese medaka), 1290 nucleotides. NCBI's taxonomy places the organism in Eukaryota, Metazoa, Chordata, Actinopteri, Beloniformes, Adrianichthyidae. The record is from RefSeq and is a predicted model, not a curated record.
GGUAUCAAGGUGGCUUUCUCACCAGAUCUCCAAACCUGCUCAACUGGGUCUUCUCAAUACGGAGUUCCAGGGUUUGUGCCCUUUCUCACUGAAAAAAAAAGGUCUUCAGAAAAGACGACUUUGCCUGAGCCGAAACCUGCCGUUUUUAUUCUGUCAUCUGCCGCAAACAAAAGGAGGGGAGCGAGCGGCGGAGACCGAGAAAGACAGGAGGGAUUUAUCCCGGCAGGUUUGUGUUUCUGAAACGACCCCUGUGUUUUCUGUCUCAGCCCUUCACGGCUGGCGAGGCGGCGAGCAGAUGUGGAGAGUUGUCUAAACCCGUCUGAUCUUAACUUAAGGAACAUAUAAUGAAUUCCAAAGGCUGAAAAAGUAAUAUGACACAAAGGGAUCAUAAAUAGCAGGAUGAGGCCUGUAAUAAGCCAAAAGGGGUUCAACGGAUAAUAACCCUGAGUAGGAGAUGUGCAGACUGAGGCCUAUAGGUUUCUCUUUUGCUCACUCGGGAUCUCUAAUCCCAAGCUUUGAGCAGGAGUCGGGGGUGGGGGUGGGGGGGUUGAAGUUAGUGUAAGAUGCAUUAGUGUCUCCGACACAUGUGUGCUCUAAUCCCUACUCCCCAGCUUUUUCUGAACUGCUUUUGUAUUUCAUUUUUUCCCCCCACUGAUCUGGUCUCUUCUCCCCGCCCACCAUCCUUUUUACCCUCCACGGCUGCCCUCCAUCCUCCCGUCCGUUCGCCAUUCGUCUUUCUCUGUUGACCAUUAAAUCCCGACGGGGCAGGCCGAGUGACAGGCUCCAUUCAGCGGUGUGCUGGGGGUGACAGCUGGUGAGAGGCCUGUGUGAAAGAGCAUUGCCCCACUGAUGCGUCCGCCACCCCUCCUCUUACCGUAAAAACACACGGCCAAGACAGGACUGGAGGUCUGGGAUGCAGCUGAGCCAAUGUCAGCCCCCUUUUAUCCAAAAGUCACCUGACUGUAUGGAUUCUGUCUCAAGACAAAUACAAGAUAUGUUUCCACGUUACAAUGUUAGAUUCCACACAGAAAAAAAAAAACUGACUUCAGGUGUUUUUUGACAAGUUAGAAACACAUUAGAGAUCUCUAACGUUUUUUUGUCAAUUUUCUCAUGUUGCCUUCGCUUGGCAUCAUGCUGCAUCAUGGCCCCAACAGGGAUUCAGCAGAUUCUGAAAUGGAUGGAUGGAUAGAUAGAUGUAGCUAUUACCCAUUGUGGUUAAUCGUUAAAUCAAAAAACACAUAGUCUAUGUACAUAGGCACCUCUCUAACACAUUAUAUUUAUAGCAAAAAA